GUGAAUCAUCGAAUCUUUGAACGCAAAUUGCACUCUCGGUUAUUCCGGAGAGUAUGCCUUUUUGAGGUUCAGUUUAAAUAAAAAUCGGUGUUGUCGCUGCCUUUCGUGGUGAGGCACCGGAUUUGGGUCGUCUGGCCGUCGGUUAUGUGACCUAAGAUUUGUCAUGAUUUUUUCGAACGGAGUUAAAUGAUGUUACGUACGUUUGCGAUAUCGAAUACUAGGUUCGGCCUUCCUCCUGAUCGGCGCCUAUAAUUUCU
Molecule: unclassified non-coding RNA, 257 nt
Filed under: Glomus sp.
Lineage: Eukaryota; Fungi; Glomeromycota; Glomeromycetes; Glomerales; Glomeraceae
Description: partial contains 5.8S ribosomal RNA and internal transcribed spacer 2
Rfam family: 5.8S ribosomal RNA (bases 1-71)
Source: RNAcentral